RNAcentral lists this ribosomal RNA (466 nucleotides) under uncultured bacterium. Its description in RNAcentral is "partial 16S ribosomal RNA". It matches the Rfam family "Bacterial small subunit ribosomal RNA", at positions 28 to 507 of the family's 1533-position model. The record is from RNAcentral.
GAUGAACGCUGGCGGCGUGCUUAACACAUGCAAGUCGAACGAUGAAGCCCAGCUUGCUGGGUGGGUUAGUGGCGAACGGGUGAGCAACACGUGAGUAACCUGCCCUUAACUCUGUGAUAAGCCUUGGAAACUGUGUCUAAUACCGGAUAGGAGCGUCCACCGCAUGGUGGGUGUGGGAAAGAUUUAUCGGUUUUGGAUGGACUCGCGGCCUAUCAGCUUGUUGGUGAGGUAAUGGCUCACCAAGGCGACGACGGGUAGCCGGCCUGAGAGGGUGACCGGCCACACUGGGACUGAGACACGGCCCAGACUCCUACGGGAGGCAGCAGUGGGGAAUAUUGCACAAUGGGCGCAAGCCUGAUGCAGCGACGCCGCGUGAGGGAUGACGGCCUUCGGGUUGUAAACCUCUUUCAGUAGGGAAGAAGCGAAAGUGACGGUAACUGCAGAAGAAGCACCGGCUAACUACGUG